AUUGAACGCUGGCGGCAGUCCUAACACAUGCAAGUCGAACGAGUGGCGGACGGGAGAGUCAUGUCUGGGAACCUGCCUGCUGGAGGGGGAUAACUCCUGGAAACGGUAGCUAAUACCGCAUACCAUCAGAUGUGCCCCGAUGGGAUGCGCUAUUUGGUGGGGUAACGGCUAACCAAGGCGACGAUCACUAGCUGGUCUGAGAGGAUGAACAGCCACACUGGAACUGAGACACGGUCCAGACUCCUACGGGAGGCAGCAGUGGGGAAUAUUGCACAAUGGGCGCAAGCCUGAUGCAGCCAUGCCGCGUGUAUGAAGAAGGCCUGCGGGUUGUAAAGUACUUUCAGCGGGGAGGCGUUACCCGCAGAAGAAGCACCGGCUAACUCCGGGCCAGCCGCCGCGGUAAUUC
RNAcentral lists this ribosomal RNA (406 nucleotides) under uncultured bacterium. RNAcentral describes it as "partial 16S ribosomal RNA". It matches the Rfam family "Bacterial small subunit ribosomal RNA", at positions 30 to 526 of the family's 1533-position model. The record is from RNAcentral.